This 735-nucleotide non-coding RNA is filed under the name Pan troglodytes (chimpanzee). Lineage: Eukaryota; Metazoa; Chordata; Mammalia; Primates; Hominidae. The record is from RNAcentral.
GAGUUGUGGAGCAAGGAUGACUGACACAAACACAAAAAUCAUUCUGCCUGUUGAAUGAAUCAUAAAAUACUGUCUUUGAUCCAGGAGGCUUGUGUCAUCUGCCAGCAUUUAUGAAACUGUGCUCCAAGUAGGCUUCUGUAUCAGCAGUGCUUGCCCCUGAUAGAUGAUGAUCAUGGGGGGACCAGGAGCCUCUAGACUUAGAGAACUUUCCCCACCCUCCCUGUGGAGUGUUUACCUCCCCAGCACCCCCUGCUGGUCAGUUUGACAAACAGAUGAACAGAAGUUCUCAAAUACACAGUAAGCAGAUAACCCCAACAUCACCAGAAAUAUCAACUUGUGAUGGCAUUUUGUCAAGUUGUCUUUGUUAUCGGCAACAUCUGUUGCUUUCUGAGGGAAGUAUUUUGAGUUCUCCUACUGAGACUGUGGAUUUGCCUAUUUCUUUUUGUAUGUCUGUCAGCUUUUGCCAUAUGUAUUUUGUAGUUGUGAGGAAGAUUCAUGACUUAUCUUGUGGGAGAAUUCUGUAUUUAGCAGAUUUUCGUCUUAAGUUCUGUUUUGCUUAGUAUUGAUGUUAUUACUUUGCUUUUUCAGUUUCAAAAUCAUUUAGUAUAUCUUUUUCCUUUCUUUUAGCCUUUGUGUUUUUAUUUCAGAUGUACUUUCUUAUGUACUGACUGUGAUCCCCAAAUUCAUAUGUUGAAGUCCCAACUCCAAAUGUAUUUGGAGGUGGGCCUUUCAGAC